Molecule: long non-coding RNA, 1755 nt
Filed under: Nicotiana benthamiana
Lineage: Eukaryota; Viridiplantae; Streptophyta; Magnoliopsida; Solanales; Solanaceae
Description: long non-coding RNA (NBEN_LNC007477)
Source: RNAcentral
AACUGUUUUUUUCCCAAUGCAAAUUUUUUCCACCUCUAAACAAGUUCACGGGUUUUCUACAACGAGUUAGCGCAUUAGUCAUAACCAUCCAAAAUUCUGGAGAUGUCAGAAAGAAGGAAUACAACUCUAAAAUAUUAUAGCCAUGGCAUAAAUGGGAUCUAACACUGUCAGCUAAAUUGAUACAAUGAUUUCAAAAGAAAAAAGGGAUUUAGCCUAGAGGGCAAAAAGGGGGAUCAUCACCAAGAAUCUGGUGGCAAAAAGUCCCCUCCUAGUUCACGGUUUACAUACUCUGAUUCACAAAGACAUGUAUAACUAGCACUUGUAACUUGUCUAAAAUUCUACCACUUAUUAAUUUCAUCCGAUAAAUGGUCAUUUACAACAAAUAGUAUAUAAAGCCAGAUACCUGCUUUAUAUGAUUUUGCAUAUAUUGAUGUAUGGCGACUUUCAACUCCAAUAAGUUAGAGUAACUACCAACGCAGCUGGUGAACUUUCUACACGUUCCCCAAUUUUGCACUGCCCACAGGAAAACCUAAUCAGCCCGAGUAAAUUCACAAAACGCCAGAGUCCAAAGCUUUGAUUGUUUUGCGUCGCCACAUAGCAGUUCCUGGAUCAAACCUCAGCUCCCAUGUUGGCCAGUAAUGUAAAUCCUGCUUCAAGGUAAGUACUCGAGGCUUCCCGUUCAGGUGGACUGUUCGUACCCGGACAAACUCUCCGUGCUCUAUUGCCUGUCGUAAGUACUCGAGGCUUCCCAUUCAGGUGGACUGUUCGUACCCGGACAAACUCUCCGUGCUCUAUUUUCUGGGAAAAGUUAAAUAGCUAGUAGGCAUAAGAACCAGGACAGUAACAAGAUCUCAACCAAAAACUAUAAGAUCAGUAAGGAUUAUUUUAUGCUGAUAUUCAUAGCUUUCCAUACACAUACAAUGUUUACAAAUCAUCUCAGAAUAACAAGUCAUACCUUCGCCACGUCAACAAAGGCAUCCAAAGUGGGAGUUGGUUUUCCAUUGACUUCAACUAUCCAUUGAAGUGCAUAAAGACCAUAUCGAUGUACUGGACUUCCAUGACACCAUCUGAGAGUUACUUUUGGCAUUAAUAAUAGUGGACAAAUAGCUAAUAGCUAACUCAACAAAAGAUGCCCAACUGCCCCCUCUUUCUUUUAUAUUAGAAGCAUUACCAAAUGCAUGCAUCAUGAAAUCUAGAAAGGCUCAACGAGCCCUUUGUCUUAAACAAAAAAUCCUUGCUACAUGCUGAUCAGUGAUUUCUCUUGCCCAACAAUAGUUUUUCAGCACAUCUAAUAAUUUUACUAACUAGCAACAACUAUUCUCUCUAUCUAGUCCUUUCUCUUUUUAAUAAUAACAAGGAAUAAUUAUAAUAAACUCUAUUUUUUCAGUUGAUAAGUUAUGAGGAAAUUGGUUAACACAAGAAUAUUUCUGGUUUCUUUCAAAUAAAGUCUACCAAUACGUGUAGGAAACUUGAAACUUGAAAAAAAAAUUCAGUCUUAAUUUGGACUUUGCUCUUCAUUUUAACACAAAUGCAUAAAAGAAAUUUAUUUCCUUUUUCAAUUAUUUUGCUGCAAUUUUCUCAAGAAACAUGCUUCCAACUUUCUUAAUCUAAACGAGCCUUCCAGCCUAGCAACUAUUCACCUUGCUACAUAUACUCCGUGUCCUUCCUCGGGAAGAAAUCCAAGUGCACGUACAGCUGGAUGAGGAUCUUGGACAAUAGAACCACACCAAUUUAUAGCACGAGUUGUUCCAUUUC